RNAcentral lists this ribosomal RNA (486 nucleotides) under uncultured bacterium. Its description in RNAcentral is "partial 16S ribosomal RNA". It matches the Rfam family "Bacterial small subunit ribosomal RNA", at positions 30 to 507 of the family's 1533-position model. The record is from RNAcentral.
AUUGAACGCUGGCGGCAUGCCUUACACAUGCAAGUCGAACGGCAGCACGGGUGCUUGCACCUGGUGGCGAGUGGCGAACGGGUGAGUAAUACAUCGGAACAUGUCCUGUAGUGGGGGAUAGCCCGGCGAAAGCCGGAUUAAUACCGCAUACGAUCUACGGAUGAAAGCGGGGGACCUUCGGGCCUCGCGCUAUAGGGUUGGCCGAUGGCUGAUUAGCUAGUUGGUGGGGUAAAGGCAUACCAAGGCGACGAUCAGUAGCUGGUCUGAGAGGACGACCAGCCACACUGGGACUGAGACACGGCCCAGACUCCUACGGGAGGCAGCAGUGGGGAAUUUUGGACAAUGGGCGAAAGCCUGAUCCAGCAAUGCCGCGUGUGUGAAGAAGGCCUUCGGGUUGUAAAGCACUUUUGUCCGGAAAGAAAUACUUGGCUCUAAUACAGUCGGGGGAUGACGGUACCGGAAGAAUAAGCACCGGCUAACUACGUG